GCUCGCCCCGCGGAACGUGCAAAAGGGUCAAAACCCUAGCCGCUAGUUCUCGUCAAGCGCGCGGCCCCUCCGCCUCGUCUCCUCCCUACUCCCUCCUCUCACACGACGCCGCCCUCGAGCCCGCGCCGCCUCGACCUCGUCUCCUCCCCGCUCCCUCCUCUACAACGCAGCCGCCCUCGAUGCGCCGUAAGGAGCAGGGCAACGGAUUGGAUCGAGGGCGCCCUAGCCUCGCCGCCGCUACACCUGGAUUCGCUAGCCGCCGCGUCGAGUCACCUCCGUCGCCGCCGCGAGUCAGCUCCACCGUUGCCGCCAGGAAUCCCUUCCCGACAAGGAAAAUUCCUAGGGAUUUGAUUGAUGGAGGCAUCACUAUUUGGCGCUGGAUUAUCCAUUUUUGCAGCACCAGCAAUGUUGUUUUUGUUUGGAAUGGCCAGUUCUCAAUUUCUAAAUCGGCUAUACUAUACUUCUUGUCAGGUUACAUUAUCUUGCUUGGUUUCAGUCUAUAUGUAGCACAAAAAUAGGUGACAUGGUUGGUUUGUAUGUUACACUAAGGAACACCACCAUAAGGAUAAGGGCAUUGCACUUCUUUGUUUAUAUUUGGUCUGUUCCUAUUCGAUUUGCUGUAGUACUUAAUUGCUACACCAUUUCAAGUUUCUUACUGUUUGCUUCUUGCUGUUUCAUUGUAUUCAGUUAUGAUAUAUUUUUCAACUAUACAAGCACUUGGGGAAGUCGGGAAAACUGAACCAAAGACAAACACUUUUACUGGUGAUGUUGGGGCUUUUUUUUUUAACUGAGAUGUGAAAGAUGCAUCUUAUCCCCUGAGAUAUAUUGCCUUUAAUCUCUUGAUUUUUUUCCCUGACAUGCUAAUAUAGAGCCAGAUAUGCAUGAUUCAUCAUACACAUUACAGCCAAUUAUCCAUUGGUUCUUUUGUCCAUAGAGGUGAUUUUGUUUGGACCAUUAGUCUAGGUAGUGACAUUUUGAUCGAUAAGGCACAAGUUUAUUUUCUUUUUCAUUCGGGCUACACUAAAGUAAGCAUAACCGUCAGUGAAAUGAAGGCAUACAAAUCAUGAAGUUUUUGCCUUGGCUGUGUGCCUCGUUUAGUUGUCACUUAUUUAUUUCUGGGAAGUUAUUCAAUUCUCAUUGAGCUUUCCUUAUGCUUUCCAUUGCUAAAGAAGAAAUUUAAAUACGCAAUAUUUUUAAUGUCUGAGGAGGCGAGAGGAGAUGAAAAAGGGCUGUAAGGUUGUACUUUGGUGCGUCUCUGGCCAAUGAUGGCUGGAUCCAUCUGACGCUCUUCCAAGCAGAGCAGUGCAGAUUUGCUGACUGAGCAGCGGAGGAACAUGUUUCUACAAAUGUGCCAAAACUGAUGGAUUUAACUAGAGGAUGGAGCAGCAGGCAUAGAUGAAAUCUACUGCCAAUUUCUAUUGGUUGCGGCAUCUUCCGCUGAGUAACUCAACAGAACAGCCUGCUAGCAUUGAUUCUUGCAAUAAAAAAAGUCUGGUAUCAUUCAUAAAAAGCCUAUAGACAUAGAUAAUUUCUUAAUCCUGCACUGGUUCUCACCAGUGAGAUUGUAGAUGUGGUAUUUUGUUUCUUAAUCCUGCACUGGUUCUCACCAGUGAGAUUGUAGAUGUGGUAUUUUGAGAAUACCAGUGUAAUUCACUGGUCCAAAAGCUCCAUUUCUUAAUGUGUUUUUGCAGAAUGCCAGUAAUGUUUUUCUUUUCCUUAAUGUACAAACAUAUCUAUGAGAUAUGAUUUUGGAUCUGAACUUUUCCCUGUCUGCAUCUCACAUUGUGGUAUGAUCAUGGUACAGCAAAAGGAAAAGAUGUUUAAACUUUUUUUGGGCGUCAUACAUGAAAAGUACCUUUAUUUCCAUCGAGCUUAAUUACUAAGAAAAUGUUACCACUGUUUCCUUACUAAUAAACCUAAAUGUUCUGAAAGUUCGGUCUCUUGCUCUCUUUGCUUAUGAAUCAAACACUUUCCCUUUCUUUAGUCCUUACACGGUUCCACCUCGGUUAGACUUCAUACUUUGAUGGUGUUUGUAGGUAUGAAGACUUGAAGAGUGGUCAUAAUGUUACUUAAAGGAGGCCUCAACUUGCACCAAAUACAUGGGCAUGUGCAACAACAACUUAUGUAGGUGAGUAGGUAUUUAUGCUUAGUUUUGACUUGAGUACAAAAAAGAGCUUGCUGACAUAUACAAGAGAAUAGGCUACCCAUUCUUGAAUUGAAUCAGAUUAGUAGACUAAACCACUGUGGUGUACUCUUUGCUGCUGAGUUAUUACAAUCCAACUGAAAAUAAGGGGAAAACAAACAUGAUCCUGCCAUUUAAAUUAUCUCAUGUUCGUGGAGAAAAGUUGCAUAGUUAGCUAUUGCAAAAUACUAUCGACCCAGUUUUUGUUCAAUAGACGUCCCUUCUUCGAAUGUAGCUUGAACCUGCGCAAGGGCAUGGUAGCAUGCUCAUUCUAUUUUUACUAAGGUGGUUACACUUUCCUACUUUUUACUGAAAGAGAGUCAAUUUAGUCAUGAGCUAUAGUGGCGUUUCUGUUUACUGAAUUUCGUUUUGCAGUUCCCUUCUCUUAAAUGUUUAUUCAAAUGUGCCUAAUGUUUUUUUCAUGUUUCUAAAAACUAAUAAAUGUUGCUCUCAAAUCAGUUAGGAGGCUGAAGGUAGUAGCUUACUGAACUCUCAUUUCCGGAAAAAUCUGGAGAUGUCUUGGUAUGGAGUUUCAUGAUCAACUUGCUCCGGCAUAGUUAGUCUUUCUAGACUAAUUGUUUGUCAGUAUAUAUUCUAUACAUGUGUUUGAUUGGUUGUGCAAACAUGCAUGCAUUGUUCUGUGUGGAAAUUGCUUUAUCCGGUCUGUUCUAUAGCAAUGUUUCCAGUGGCUGUUUAGCACAUAUAUUUAGAUAGUUGCAUACGCAUGCUUGGUUCUGCCAGAAAAUUAUCUUCCCUGAUAUGUUUUCAGAUGCUAUUUGGUAUACAUGUUUGUCUUUGUCAUGUUUAUGUUGAGUUGUGGGUUCCAAAGGUAUUUAUGAUGAUCGUUUGCAUGGUGGGUCAUGUCAGCGAUGUGCAUUGCAUAUUCAUGAUUCAAACUCUUUGUUGGGUAUAUAUCUAUAUGAAGUUGUUUUUGAAUGGCCCAUGAUUCAUUUUUUAUUAGUAUUUUAGUUUAAGCAUUUCUCCAGAGAAUCUUGAUAUCCAGCUGUAUAUAUAUCCAGUCAUGUUUUUUUACUCUGACCGUUUUUUGUUUUGUUUUACAGUUUGUACAAUCUCUAAAGAUGGUGCUCCAUUGUUCUGUUAAUCAAGAUUUGUUCCCUCCUUUCUUACUAGCUGAUACGUGAUGACCGUUUGCAUGGGGGGUUAUGUUAACUAUAUUCUAUUCAUGAUUCAAACUGUUUGUUGGGUAAUUUAGUUUAGACAUUGUGUCCUUAGAAUCUUGAUAUCUAGCUGUAUCGGUAUAGUAUAGUUUGUGAUUUUUCCCUCUGAAUUUAUAUGUCCACUCAGGUUGGGAUAGGUUAUGAGUAUUCUUAGUGUGGAAACAGCGGCAGUGCUGUACUUUCAUCAGAUGAUGAUACGCCAACCUUGCCCCAUUUGGCUCUAUGUUACCCCAAUAAGAUAGCAAAAUACACAUGCUCAAGUAUAUAUUUUCAAAGAUGAAUUAUCCUUCAUUUUCCA
Molecule: long non-coding RNA, 3658 nt
Organism: Triticum aestivum (bread wheat)
Lineage: Eukaryota; Viridiplantae; Streptophyta; Magnoliopsida; Poales; Poaceae
Exons: 5
Source: RefSeq, a predicted model, not a curated record